Molecule: unclassified non-coding RNA, 2331 nt
Filed under: uncultured Pseudoclostridium sp.
Lineage: Bacteria; Bacillati; Bacillota; Clostridia; Eubacteriales; Oscillospiraceae
Description: partial contains 16S ribosomal RNA, 16S-23S ribosomal RNA intergenic spacer, and 23S ribosomal RNA
Rfam family: Bacterial small subunit ribosomal RNA (bases 1-1495)
Source: RNAcentral
GAUAAACGCUGGCGGCGCACAUAAGACAUGCAAGUCGAACGGACUUAACCAUUAGUUUACUAUUGGAGCGGUUAGUGGCGGACUGGUGAGUAACACGUAAGCAACCUGCCUAUCAGAGGGGAACAACAGUUAGAAAUGACUGCUAAUACCGCAUAUGCCUUGAGUAUCACAUGGUACAAAAGGGAAAGGAGCAAUCCGCUGAUAGAUGGGCUUGCGUCUGAUUAGAUAGUUGGUGGGGUAACGGCCUACCAAGUCGACGAUCAGUAGCCGGACUGAGAGGUUGAACGGCCACAUUGGGACUGAGAUACGGCCCAGACUCCUACGGGAGGCAGCAGUCGGGAAUAUUGCGCAAUGGAGGAAACUCUGACGCAGUGACGCCGCGUGCAGGAAGAAGGUUUUCGGAUUGUAAACUGCUUUAGACAGGGAAGAAACAAGACAGUACCUGUAGAAUAAGCUCCGGCUAACUACGUGCCAGCAGCCGCGGUAAUACGUAGGGAGCAAGCGUUAUCCGGAUUUAUUGGGUGUAAAGGGUGCGUAGACGGGAAAUUAAGUUAGUUGUGAAAUCCCUCGGCUUAACUGAGGAACUGCAACUAAAACUGAUUUUCUUGAGUGUUGGAGAGGAAAGUGGAAUUCCUAGUGUAGCGGUGAAAUGCGUAGAUAUUAGGAGGAACACCAGUGGCGAAGGCGACUUUCUGGACAAUAACUGACGUUGAGGCACGAAAGUGUGGGGAGCAAACAGGAUUAGAUACCCUGGUAGUCCACACCGUAAACGAUGGAUACUAGGUGUAGGAUGUGAUAAACAUUCUGUGCCGUCGCAAACGCAGUAAGUAUCCCACCUGGGGAGUACGGCCGCAAGGUUGAAACUCAAAGGAAUUGACGGGGGCCCGCACAAGCAGUGGAGUAUGUGGUUUAAUUCGACGCAACGCGAAGAACCUUACCAGGGCUUGACAUAUACAGGAAUAUGUUAGAGAUAGCAUAGCUCUUCGGAGUCUGUAUACAGGUGGUGCAUGGUUGUCGUCAGCUCGUGUCGUGAGAUGUUGGGUUAAGUCCCGCAACGAGCGCAACCCCUGUUCUUAGUUGCCAGCACGUAAAGGUGGGAACUCUAAGAAGACUGCCGGUGAUAAAUCGGAGGAAGGUGGGGACGACGUCAAAUCAUCAUGCCCUUUAUGUCCUGGGCUACACACGUACUACAAUGGCUAUAACAAAGGGAAGCGAAGCCGCGAGGUGAAGCAAAACCCAAAAAAGUAGUCCCAGUUCGGAUUGAAGGCUGAAAUUCGCCUUCAUGAAGCCGGAAUUGCUAGUAAUGGCAGGUCAGCAUACUGCCGUGAAUACGUUCCCGGGCCUUGUACACACCGCCCGUCACACCAUGAGAGUUGGGAAUACCCGAAGCCUGUGAGCUAACUUUAAGAGGCAGCAGUCGAAGGUAGAAUCAAUGAUUGGGGUGAAGUCGUAACAAGGUAGCCGUAUCGGAAGGUGCGGCUGGAUCACCUCCUUUCUAAGGAGAAUUAACUAAACGGAUUUUAUUGUUUAUUUUUCAAUGUACUUUAAACAGUACAUUAAAAAUAGAGUGAAGCUCAUUAACAGAAGAAAACACAGACAAAAAAGACUCUAAUAUAUGGGCUCAUAGCUCAGAUGGUUAGAGCGCACGCCUGAUAAGCGUGAGGUCGAUGGUUCGAUUCCAUUUGAGCCCACCAAGUGAUUUUAUAUCACUUUAGCACAUUGAAAAAUAUAUAGAUGAAAAUAAGGUAAACUAGAAAUAUGAACUAGUAGCUUUGUUGAAAAAACAAAGUAAAAGUUUUAGGAUUACAAAUCAAAAACCGAUUAACCUAAAGAAGGUUAAGCUACUAAGAGCAUAUGGUGAAUGCCUUGGCACCAAGAGCCGACGAAGGACGUGAUAAGCUGCGAAAAGCUAUGGAGAGGAGCAAAUAUCCAUCGACCCAUAGAUAUCCGAAUGAGGGAACUCAACUAGAGAAAAAAGUCUAGUUAUCCACACAUGAGUAAAGUAGUGUGUGUGAGGGGAACGUAGGGAACUGAAACAUCUAAGUACCUACAGGAAAAGAAAGAAAACUCGAUUCCUUGAGUAGUGGCGAGCGAAAGAGGAAGAGCCUAAACCAGAAGAAGCAAUUCUUUUGGGGUUAUGGACUACAUAAUUGAUUCUCAAAGACUAGCAGAACUGUUUGGGAAAGCAGACCAAAGAUAGUGAAAGUCUAGUAAGCGAAAGUUAGAGAGACAUGGUAGUAUCCGGAGUAGUGCGAGACACGGGAAAUCUCGUAUGAAAAAGUGGGGACCACCCCAUAAGGCUAAAUACUACUUGGUGACCGAUAGUGAAAC